Molecule: ribosomal RNA, 440 nt
Filed under: uncultured bacterium
Lineage: Bacteria
Description: partial 16S ribosomal RNA
Rfam family: Bacterial small subunit ribosomal RNA
Source: RNAcentral
CCUACGGGAGGCAGCAGUGGGGAAUAUUGCACAAUGGGGGAAACCCUGAUGCAGCGACGCCGCGUGAGUGAAGAAGGAUUUCGGUAUGUAAAGCUCUAUUAGCAGGGAAGAAAAUGACGGUACCUGAGUAAGAAGCCCCGGCUAACUACGUGCCAGCAGCCGCGGUAAUACGUAGGGGGCAAGCGUUAUCCGGAUUUACUGGGUGUAAAGGGAGCGUAGACGGCAGGGCAAGUCUGGAGUGAAAGGCGGGGGCUCAACCCCCGGACUGCACUUGAAACUGUACGGCUGGAGUGCAGGAGAGGUAAGUGGAAUUCCUAGUGUAGCGGUGAAAUGCGUAGAUAUUAGGAGGAACACCAGUGGCGAAGGCGGCUUACUGGACUGUAACUGACGUUGAGGCUCGAAAGCGUGGGGAGCAAACAGGAUUAGAUACCCCAGUAGUC